This 450-nucleotide ribosomal RNA is filed under the name uncultured bacterium. Its description in RNAcentral is "partial 16S ribosomal RNA". It matches the Rfam family "Bacterial small subunit ribosomal RNA", at positions 354 to 796 of the family's 1533-position model. The record is from RNAcentral.
GUGGGGAAUUUUGGACAAUGGGCGCAAGCCUGAUCCAGCAAUGCCGCGUGCAGGAAGAAGGCCUUCGGGUUGUAAACUGCUUUUGUACGGAACGAAACGGUCCUGGCUAAUAUCCGGGGCUAAUGACGGUACCGUAAGAAUAAGCACCGGCUAACUACGUGCCAGCAGCCGCGGUAAUACGUAGGGUGCGAGCGUUAAUCGGAAUUACUGGGCGUAAAGCGUGCGCAGGCGGUGCUGUAAGACAGGCGUGAAAUCCCCGGGCUCAACCUGGGAAUUGCGCUUGUGACUGCAGUGCUGGAGUGCGGCAGAGGGGGAUGGAAUUCCGCGUGUAGCAGUGAAAUGCGUAGAUAUGCGGAGGAACACCGAUGGCGAAGGCAAUCCCCUGGGCCUGCACUGACGCUCAUGCACGAAAGCGUGGGGAGCAAACAGGAUUAGAAACCCGUGUAGUCC